This is an RNA transcript of Hypomesus transpacificus, 2748 nucleotides long. It is a transcript of the gene named KH domain containing, RNA binding, signal transduction associated 1b, with no coding region annotated. Lineage: Eukaryota; Metazoa; Chordata; Actinopteri; Osmeriformes; Osmeridae. The transcript has 11 exons. The record is from RefSeq and is a predicted model, not a curated record.
CUCACUAGAAAUUGCGUCUCCAUUUUCCGCGAGGCGCGGCGACGGUCGAAGUUGAUAACGGAAACGGCAGAAGCUUCAGCAAACGUUUAGCAGCCACAUGCAAAGCGAACUCUGCAAAGUGGAUACCACCCAGUAGACAAAGACCUGGACUAUUUUUACUACAGUUUUUUUUCUAUAGCUUUUGCAUCGCCCCAUCUGCAGAAACUGAAUUUAAACACAAUAUGGAGAACGAAAGCAAGUAUCUCCCCGAGCUCCUCGCGGAGAAGGACAGCCUGGACACAUCGUUUACGCACGCAAUGAAACUUUUAUCUGCAGAAAUCGAGAGAAUCCAGAAAGGAGAGACCAAGAAGGAGGGGGAAACGUACCUGGACCUUUUCACAGUCAAGAACAUCAAGCUGAAAGAGCGAGUGCUGAUCCCAGUCAAACAGUACCCAAAGUUCAACUUCGUGGGGAAGAUCCUGGGACCACAGGGCAACACCAUCAAGCGUCUGCAGGAGGAGACGGGGGCCAAGAUCUCUGUUCUGGGAAAGGGCUCCAUGAGGGACAAGGCCAAGGAGGAAGGUCUGAGGAAAGGAGGAGAGCCCAAGUACGCCCACCUGUCCAUGGACCUGCACGUGUUCAUCGAGGUGUUCGCUCCUGUGCCCGAGGCCUAUGUCCGCAUGGCCCACGCCAUGGAGGAAGUCAAGAAGUUCCUGUUUCCUGACAUGAUGGAUGAUAUCUGUCAGGAGCAGUUCAUGGAGAUGGGGUACCUGAACGGGGGCCAGGAGCACGUGGGCCGGGGCCGCGGGGGGCCACCGACCAGGGCCCGCGGAGGACACCCACCCACAGGAGCGCCCAGGGGAAGGGGGAUGCCCCCUCGCGGAGGCGUGGCUCGCGGUGGCCCCACCAGGGGGGGACAGGCCCGGGGUGCCCCGGCCGGCCGAGGAGGACCUCCAGCAGCCCCCGCCAGAGGGGCAGCCACCCCCCGAGCCAGGCCCCCUGCGGCCGGACCCCCUCAGAGAAUGCCCCCUCCUCCCCCCCAUCAGCAUCAACACCAGCACCCCCCGGCCGCGGACACCUACGAGGACUACUCCUAUGAUGAAACCUACACAGAACCAGAGUAUGAAUCCUACGACAGCUACUACAGCCAGCCACAGGCAGAGCCAGAAUACUAUGACUAUGGACACGGGGAAUCACAGGAGACCUAUGAUUCCUACGCUCAAGAUGACUGGAACGGGACUGCCAGACCAGCAGGAGGGAAGGUGCCCCCAGCCAGACCAGUGAAGACCACGUAUCGGGAACACCCUUAUAGACAAUACUGAACUGACUGCACCUAGCGGUUAACGCGUCGCCCUGACAACAGCCUGUCUACCACGGCAGAUCUCGCUUUAAAGCAACCCGACAAAAAGCAGAGCUAGCGCUCCCCAGAUUGACUGGACAUGAAAAGACCAGUCAUGAGGACACGCCCAAGAUGGAGCCUCAGUGACACCCCCGCACCCUGGGACUGGACAGGAAGCUGUCAGCCCUCCUCAGUGAGGAACCGUCCCAGAAAGGAGCACCGUUCGUUGGGGAGGGAAGGGUAUGGAUAGAGGGCGUACUGCCAGGAGAACAAGUGAGGCCUGGAAGCGUAGGACCCCACUGUAGAAGAGAUGUGGAUGGAAAUAGAAAGUCUGGAAUGUUCCAGAUUGAUCACCCAUGAACCUUUCACACAGUGAAUACCUGUGUUUGAUUUAUUUUGAAUGUACAAGUUUUACUUUAGUGUACCCAUCCUUAGUGGAUUCGUUCAAGAAAGGUCAAUACUACCCUGAAACAGCCAAUUUUAUAUUUAGCAAAACACAUGUUCUGAUGAAUUGUAGCUUUUUUCUCUCUCUUUAGCUACCUACUUGAAUGUGUACUCGUCCUUGUGUACUGGUAGAUGAAAUGUUUUCAUGGUUUCUGCAAGCUAAGCUGUAUCUUCCACGCAUGACUCAUGCAUAAAAUGUUCUUUGUAUUACGUUCUUAAGUACCCAGUUUUGUUUUGGUGGCGGCUCGUUUGUCUCCAUGCAUAAUUGCCAUGCUGCAUUACAUGCUUUGCAUGUGAACAAAAUAUGCCCUAGAAGAGAAUCUGUUAUGCUUAAAUUCACUGCUGCUUUGGCACGUUGAAAAUCACCCCGGCUCACAAGUGUGCUUGCUCACACACAUACACACACACACAAACCUUGGCACAACACAGACGAUGCAGCCCUGUGGAUAUCAAAUGCUAAUGUGAAACUCAUUUGCAUGUCUCUUCCCCCCCCCCAAAAAAAAAUAAUAAUCAAAUGUUGGCUUUCUCCUGCAAGCCUGACCGCCAAAUCUGAGAAUCUGGCUAUAAGGAACAGGAAUGUUUGCACCUUUUGACAUUUUGACAGAGAGAGGCUGAGCGAUAUCCACAGCACAUUCCUCUAUAAACCAUAUCUAAACCUUUCCAACCAAUGGCAUCCCCACCAUAGUUGAACUGGUAUUACCGUGCAGCUCACACACCACUAAUCACUCAGACCUUUCAUGCAGAGUUUAAUCAGCAUUAGCCAAUACUUGAGCCUCUAUUUACUAGCGGGAUAAGAAUGGAGGGAGCUUAGUCCCUCACAGGGUUGCAUGCAAAUGUGAUGACGGCAUCAUGUCAGCUGAACAAUGUGAAAUGUAUUUGUUAUUCUGAGUCUGAACACAAGUGUUUAGUUCAAUCAUUUUGUUUCAUAUCACCUCUCUUUAUUGAAUACAAUGUAUACAAGCCGAAUGGAUUAAAUAAAUGAAUCA